GGUUAAGUGAAUAAGGGCGCAUGGUGGAUGCCUUGGCACUAGAAGCCGAUGAAGGACGGGACGAACACCGAUAUGCUUUGGGGAGCUGUACGUAAGCUUUGAUCCAGAGAUUUCCGAAUGGGGAAACCCAACAUCUUUUAUAGGAUGUUACUAUUCAGUGAAUACAUAGCUGAUUAGAGGUAGACGCAGAGAACUGAAACAUCUAAGUACCUGCAGGAAGAGAAAGAAAAAUCGAUUCCCUUAGUAGCGGCGAGCGAAACGGGAACAGCCCAAACCAACAAGCUUGCUUGUUGGGGUUGUAGGACUCCGUUGUGGUAGUCUUUUCAGAUAGUCGAAUGACUUGGAAAAGUCAGUCAAAGAGGGUAAAAACCCCGUAGACGAAAUUUGGAAGACACCUAGGAGGAUCCUGAGUACGGCGGAACACGAGGAAUUCCGUCGGAAUCCGGGAGGACCAUCUCCCAAGGCUAAAUACUCUCUAGUGACCGAUAGUGAACCAGUACCGUGAGGGAAAGGUGAAAAGCACCCCGGAAGGGGAGUGAAAUAGAUCCUGAAACCAUGUGCCUACAACAAGUUAAAGCCCGUUAAUGGGUGAUAGCGUGCCUUUUGUAGAAUGAACCGGCGAGUUACGAUUAUCUGCGAGGUUAAGUCGAUGAGACGGAGCCGUAGCGAAAGCGAGUCUGAAUAGGGCGAUUGAGUAGGUGGUCGUAGACCCGAAACCAAGUGAUCUACCCAUGUCCAGGUUGAAGGUGCGGUAAAACGCACUGGAGGACCGAACCCACGUACGUUGAAAAGUGCGGGGAUGAGGUGUGGGUAGCGGAGAAAUUCCAAACGAACUUGGAGAUAGCUGGUUCUCUCCGAAAUAGCUUUAGGGCUAGCGUCAGAUUUUAAGAAUGAUGGAGGUAGAGCACUGUUUGGACUAGGGGCCCAUCUAGGGUUACCGAAUUCAGAUAAACUCCGAAUGCCAUUCAUUUAUAUCUGGCAGUCAGACUGUGAGUGAUAAGAUCCAUAGUCGAAAGGGAAACAGCCCAGACCACCAGCUAAGGUCCCAAAAUUUAUGUUAAGUGGAAAAGGAUGUGGGGUUGCACAGACAACUAGGAUGUUGGCUCAGAAGCAGCCAUCAUUUAAAGAGUGCGUAAUAGCUCACUAGUCGAGUGACCCUGCGCCGAAAAUUUACCGGGGCUAAACAUAAUACCGAAGCUGUGGAAUGUACUUAUGUACAUUGGUAGGAGAGCGUUCUAAGGGCGUCGAAGGUAGACCGUGAGGACUGCUGGAGCGCUUAGAAGUGAGAAUGCCGGUAUGAGUAGCGAAAGACAGGUGAGAAUCCUGUCCACCGUAUGACUAAGGUUUCCAGGGGAAGGCUCGUCCGCCCUGGGUUAGUCGGGACCUAAGCUGAGGCCGAUAGGCGUAGGCGAUGGACAACAGGUUGAUAUUCCUGUACUCGUUGUUUUUGUUUGAACAAUGGAGGGACGCAGGAGGCUAAGGAAUGCAGACGAUUGGAAAUGUCUGUCCAAGCAACAAGUCUUAGUGAGAGUCAAAUGCUUUCACUUAUACGGACAAGUUGUGAUGGGGAGGGAAAUUUAAGUACCGAAGUUCCUGAUGUCACACUGCCAAGAAAAGCUUCUAGUUAGAAAACAACGACCCGUACCGUAAACCGACACAGGUAGUCGAGGAGAGUAUCCUAAGGUGUGCGAGAGAACUCUCGUUAAGGAACUCGGCAAAAUGACCCCGUAACUUCGGGAGAA
Molecule: ribosomal RNA, 1742 nt
Filed under: Enterococcus alcedinis
Lineage: Bacteria; Bacillati; Bacillota; Bacilli; Lactobacillales; Enterococcaceae
Description: partial 23S ribosomal RNA
Rfam family: Bacterial large subunit ribosomal RNA
Source: RNAcentral